This 71-nucleotide transfer RNA is filed under the name Gasterosteus aculeatus (three-spined stickleback). It matches the Rfam family "tRNA". From Rfam's summary of the family: Transfer RNA (tRNA) molecules are approximately 80 nucleotides in length. The record is from Rfam by way of RNAcentral. Lineage: Eukaryota; Metazoa; Chordata; Actinopteri; Perciformes; Gasterosteidae.
GCGAUGGUGGUAUAGUGGUGAGCAUAGCUGCGACGCACAUCUUGACCCGGGUUCGAUUCCCGCCCAUCGCA